GCCCGCCCUUGUACAGCUUCAUGUUGAGGCUGCUUGUUUUCUGAGCUGACAGGAAUCUGAGGCAGACUUGGUUGAAUUCACCUGCAAUCUUCUGAAAGUGUGACCAGGGUCUUAGCUACAAACUAGGGCGGUAAGGAUCUGAAGUCUCCUGGAAGCCUGACCCGGGUCUGGGCUGGGGUUGGAACGGCUGGAAUGCGGAUGUUUUAGGAACUGGAUGGACCUUGACUAGGAGUUGAAUCAGGACUGUCUGCUGUGGACCUUGGUUCUUCUCUUCGUGGCAACUGCAUGUGGCUUCCUGUAUCGCCUCACAGCCUAGUGGCUGGCUUCCAAGAAGGACUAUGCCAACAGUAAGCAUUCCAAGAUGGAGGAAGUGGAAGCUGCCAGAGCCAUUAAGGGUCAGCUUGGAAACUGGCCAAGUAUCACUUCCUCUGUAUUUUAUUAGUGAAAGCGCUGAGGAGCUGGCCUGCAGUUCGUGUAGGAGAGACCUGCAGAACAGCCUCUCCGAGGAAUGUGUCCAUCUGGGUCAUUCAAAUCGUAGUUGAGGAUGUUUAAAAAUAGCUGUUCUUUUGUUAUCUCAGAUAAACGAAACGUGAAAUAAAUAACCACGUGGCCCAGCAAUCUCUCUUCUGGGUAAAGGGGUCGAAAGAAAGGCCUUGAAGAUGCGUCUGCAUACCCAUGUUUAUAGCUAUGUUAUUCACCAUGGCCAAAAGGUGUAAUGGGCCUCUUUUCCAUUGGUGGGUGCAUGGCUAAACAAAAUAUGAUGCUGUCUUCAUUCUUUUGGCCUACUAUAACAAAAUAUCAGUGACUGGGUGGCUUAUAAGCAAGAGAAGUUUGUUUCUUAAUGUGAUGGAGACAAGGCAAUCUAAGAUCUAAGUACAGGUAGAUUUAGUUUCUGGUAAGAGCUCUCUUUGACUUUUCUCGUUACAGAAUUUUUACACGGUGGCAAGUGUGAGCAAUCUCUGUGUGGUAUAUUUCAAUUCUACACUUGUCCCUUGUGAUCCAUCACCUCCCAAAGUCUCUGCCUCCUAAUAUUACUAGGAUUUGUAAUAUUGGGUGCUAGGAUUUCAGCAUAUAAAUGUGUGGAGGAGACAAAUGGUCAGACCACUGUAGACCUGUGUAUACAGGGGCAUAUUGUUUAUCCUUAAAAUGAAGUGAAAUUUGUAAUGUGGAUGAGACUGGAAUGGACCUAUGUUAGGUAAAAAUAAGCUAAGGGGAAAGAAAAGAACAUUGUGUGAGUCUCUUGAUGGGCGGGCGGGGCUUAGAGCAGCCAAAUCAGCAGACAGAAAGGACAGAGGUUACUAAGGGCUGGAGGAGAAGGGAAUGGAAGUGACUGCUUUGGGUGUAGUUUCAUUUGAGGACAUAGAUAAAAAAUAUUGUAACUGAUUAAUCUGCUGAACUGUACACUUAAAAUACUUCAAUGGUGAGUGAAUUCAUUAUACAUUUCUUAUAAAUGUACACAAUAAAAACAUUGUUCUGAA
RNAcentral lists this long non-coding RNA (1478 nucleotides) under Mus musculus (house mouse). RNAcentral's name for it is "RIKEN cDNA D830044D21 gene". The record is from RNAcentral. Lineage: Eukaryota; Metazoa; Chordata; Mammalia; Rodentia; Muridae.